ACAGCCACAUCAUGUUGAAACAUCGGUUCCUGUAUGAUCAUCAAAGUUAAGCAAUGUUGAGCCUGGUCAGUACCUAGAUGGGUAACUGCUUGGGAAUGC
Acanthosepion pharaonis is the source of this 99-nucleotide non-coding RNA. NCBI's taxonomy places the organism in Eukaryota, Metazoa, Mollusca, Cephalopoda, Sepiida, Sepiidae. The record is from the annotation of a GenBank genome assembly.